GGGUUGUGAGGUUAAGCGACUAAGCGUACACGGUGGAUGCCCUGGCAGUCAGAGGCGAUGAAGGGCGUGCUAAUCUGCGAUAAGCGCCGGUAAGGUGAUAUGAACCGUUAUAACCGGCGAUACCCGAAUGGGGAAACCCAGUGUGAUUCGUCACACUAUCAUUAACUGAAUCCAUAGGUUAAUGAGGCGAACCGGGGGAACUGAAACAUCUAAGUACCCCGAGGAAAAGAAAUCAACCGAGAUUCCCCCAGUAGCGGCGAGCGAACGGGGAGGAGCCCAGAGCCUGAAUCAGCAUGUGUGUUAGUGGAAGCGUCUGGAAAGGCGCGCGAUACAGGGUGACAGCCCCGUACACAAAAGCGCAUGUGUUGUGAGCUCGAUGAGUAGGGCGGGACACGUGGUAUCCUGUCUGAAUAUGGGGGGACCAUCCUCCAAGGCUAAAUACUCCUGACUGACCGAUAGUGAACCAGUACCGUGAGGGAAAGGCGAAAAGAACCCCGGCGAGGGGAGUGAAAAAGAACCUGAAACCGUGUACGUACAAGCAGUGGGAGCACAGGUUUACCUGUGUGACUGCGUACCUUUUGUAUAAUGGGUCAGCGACUUAUAUUCUGUAGCAAGGUUAACCGUAUAGGGGAGCCG
This 636-nucleotide ribosomal RNA is filed under the name Salmonella enterica. Its description in RNAcentral is "partial 23S ribosomal RNA". It matches the Rfam family "Bacterial large subunit ribosomal RNA", at positions 1 to 668 of the family's 2925-position model. The record is from RNAcentral. Lineage: Bacteria; Pseudomonadati; Pseudomonadota; Gammaproteobacteria; Enterobacterales; Enterobacteriaceae.